This 75-nucleotide transfer RNA is filed under the name Paramagnetospirillum magnetotacticum MS-1. Its description in RNAcentral is "Magnetospirillum magnetotacticum MS-1 tRNA-Thr". It matches the Rfam family "tRNA". From Rfam's summary of the family: Transfer RNA (tRNA) molecules are approximately 80 nucleotides in length. Their secondary structure includes four short double-helical elements and three loops (D, anti-codon, and T loops). Further hydrogen bonds mediate the characteristic L-shaped molecular structure. tRNAs have two regions of fundamental functional importance: the anti-codon, which is responsible for specific mRNA codon recognition, and the 3' end, to which the tRNAs corresponding amino acid is attached (by aminoacyl-tRNA synthetases). tRNAs cope with the degeneracy of the genetic code in two manners: having more than one tRNA (with a specific anti-codon) for a particular amino acid; and 'wobble' base-pairing, i.e. permitting non-standard base-pairing at the 3rd anti-codon position. The record is from RNAcentral. Lineage: Bacteria; Pseudomonadati; Pseudomonadota; Alphaproteobacteria; Rhodospirillales; Magnetospirillaceae.
GCUGGCGUAGCUCAAUCUGGUAGAGCAGCCGCAUUGUAGGCGGACGGUUGCGGGUUCAACUCCUGUCGCCAGCAC